AACGAACGCUGGCGGCAUGCCUAACACAUGCAAGUCGAACGAGACCUUCGGGUCUAGUGGCGCACGGGUGCGUAACGCGUGGGAACCUGCCCUUAGGUUCGGAAUAACUCAGAGAAAUUUGAGCUAAUACCGGAUAAUGUCUUCGGACCAAAGAUUUAUCGCCUUUGGAUGGGCCCGCGUAGGAUUAGCUUUUGGUGGGGUAAUGGCCUACCAAGGCGACGAUCCUUAGCUGGUCUGAGAGGAUGAUCAGCCACACUGGGACUGAGACACGGCCCAGACUCCUACGGGAGGCAGCAGUGGGGAAUAUUGGACAAUGGGCGAAAGCCUGAUCCAGCAAUGCCGCGUGAGUGAUGAAGGCCUUAGGGUUGUAAAGCUCUUUUACCAGGGAUGAUAAUGACAGUACCUGGAGAAUAAGCUCCGGCUAACUCCGUG
Molecule: ribosomal RNA, 432 nt
Filed under: uncultured bacterium
Lineage: Bacteria
Description: partial 16S ribosomal RNA
Rfam family: Bacterial small subunit ribosomal RNA
Source: RNAcentral